AACCAUUUCACGAGUUUUGGUGAAAUUGCCUGAACAGUCCACCAACCUUGGCUCCUCUCAAAGGUCGAUAUACCUCUCUUGAAAUAUCUUCCUGGAUUGAAGUUGCUUGAGUCAUCAGCUCCUACAGUAAUUUCUCCAAUGGGAAGACACAACACCUUUCCAGGAAUGUUUCAUCAAUUUUGAUAAUUCGUCCUUGUACCACACUCGAUCCAACCUCUGAGUCAUAAUUCGUAAUAUAUUCCUCCACUAAUGACACAUUAAUUGAUGAUAAAUGAUCUGACAGGUGUAAAAAGUGGAACAACUGUGUAUUCCAAAAAUCUUUUAUUUUUUUUUUGGCAUCCAGCAAAUAUCCAACUUCAUCGGCUCUAUAUUGAUAACGAUUAUCAUAGAAGGUGGUUUUGAUGCACAUCUAGCUCUCACAUUUUGGCCACUAUCUUCUUUGUCUAUAGCUCACCUUAGACUUUCAAUUGCCAUGACGCUCCCCCUCUCAAACUCUUAACUAGAACUACUAUGCUGAAAAAUGUAAGAAACACAAGAAAUAGCAAUCUUAGAAAACAAUCAAGAACAAUAAUAUAGAAUGACCUCUAAUUGGUGCCCCACUCCUAUUCUCUG
This 612-nucleotide long non-coding RNA is filed under the name Physcomitrium patens. Its description in RNAcentral is "long non-coding RNA (PPAT_LNC006156)". Lineage: Eukaryota; Viridiplantae; Streptophyta; Bryopsida; Funariales; Funariaceae. The record is from RNAcentral.